This 366-nucleotide ribosomal RNA is filed under the name uncultured Alphaproteobacteria bacterium. Its description in RNAcentral is "bacterial SSU rRNA". It matches the Rfam family "Bacterial small subunit ribosomal RNA", at positions 38 to 432 of the family's 1533-position model. Lineage: Bacteria; Pseudomonadati; Pseudomonadota; Alphaproteobacteria. The record is from RNAcentral.
GGCGGCAGGCCUAACACAUGCAAGUCGAGCGAGACCUUCGGGUCUAGCGGCGGACGGGUUAGUAACGCGUGGGAAUAUACCCUUCACUACGGAAUAGCCUCGGGAAACUGGGAGUAAUACCGUAUACGCCCUUUUGGGGAAAGAUUUAUCGGUGAAGGAUUAGCCCGCGUCUGAUUAGAUAGUUGGUGGGGUAAUGGCCUACCAAGUCUACGAUCAGUAGCUGGUUUGAGAGGAUGAUCAGCAACACUGGGACUGAGACACGGCCCAGACUCCUACGGGAGGCAGCAGUGGGGAAUCUUAGACAAUGGGCGCAAGCCUGAUCUAGCCAUGCCGCGUGAGUGACGAAGGCCUUAGGGUCGUAAAGCU